Long non-coding RNA from Hyposmocoma kahamanoa, 783 nucleotides. RefSeq lists it as uncharacterized. The record is from RefSeq and is a predicted model, not a curated record. The transcript has 3 exons. Lineage: Eukaryota; Metazoa; Arthropoda; Insecta; Lepidoptera; Cosmopterigidae.
GAGUGAAGGAGCUUGAUCCCCCCUCACGGCUCAGUUAUUGACCCGAGCACCGGCUCUGCGCGCGCACCCAAAAAGUCUAGCACAGUCAGUCUUUCUAGACUGCUACCUACAAUGCCUGCUCCCUGCGACUCUUGUAAAGGUACGUGCGCUGGCGGCAAAGCCGCGUGUGGCGCCAACUGCACUUGCGGGCCCAACUGCGCUUGCGGUGAUGGCAAACCCUCGGGGGAUAAACCAUGCUGCAAGGGCAACAAGUAAAAUGAAUUCUCAACUUUUUCCAAUGAAGCUCUACUUUAUCUAACGUCUUUACAAUGUAGUGUAAUAUAUCUAACAUAUUUAUAUAAUAAUAGUUACACUGUAUGACGUAGUUGAUGUUUACUAAAUUCUAUAUUUUAUAGAAACAACAAAAUAUUGUGUCGUCAUGAAAUAAAAUGUAUUUGAAGUAAGAUUUAUUAUACUCUAAUUAUAUUGAUAUUUAAUAUCUUAAUUAGAUUAGUUUACAAAUGCGAUCACUAGAUGGCAGAUGUGUAACUGUCAUUGUCAAAAGUAACCAAUCAUAGAUCAGGAAUUUUGAUGUUGAAUGGUAUCAUAGUGCGCCAUCUAAUGAUAGCUAAUAGAACUUAUUGGUGUUUGCUUAUAAGGCUAUAUUGUAUGGAAAUUAUAUAUCGAAAUAAAAUGUCUAAUAUAGAAUUAGUUUCGUCGCAUUCAGUGUUAAUCUUCUUCUCUGCAUGAGAGUGAUGGUACUUGAAAUACUCAUUAAUAUUAGUAUUAUGUGAUGAGCACGCA